GAUUGAACGCUGGCGGCAGGCCUAACACAUGCAAGUCGAGCGGUAGCACAGAGAGCUUGCUCUCGGGUGACGAGCGGCGGACGGGUGAGUAAUGUCUGGGAAACUGCCUGAUGGAGGGGGAUAACUACUGGAAACGGUAGCUAAUACCGCAUAACGUCGCAAGACCAAAGUGGGGGACCUUCGGGCCUCAUGCCAUCAGAUGUGCCCAGAUGGGAUUAGCUAGUAGGUGGGGUAACGGCUCACCUAGGCGACGAUCCCUAGCUGGUCUGAGAGGAUGACCAGCCACACUGGAACUGAGACACGGUCCAGACUCCUACGGGAGGCAGCAGUGGGGAAUAUUGCACAAUGGGCGCAAGCCUGAUGCAGCCAUGCCGCGUGUGUGAAGAAGGCCUUCGGGUUGUAAAGCACUUUCAGCGGGGAGGAAGGCGUUAAGGUUAAUAACCUUGGCGAUUGACGUUACCCGCAGAAGAAGCACCGGCUAACUCCGUGCCAGCAGCCGCGGUAAUACGGAGGGUGCAAGCGUUAAUCGGAAUUACUGGGCGUAAAGCGCACGCAGGCGGUCUGUCAAGUCGGAUGUGAAAUCCCCGGGCUCAACCUGGGAACUGCAUUCGAAACUGGCAGGCUAGAGUCUUGUAGAGGGGGGUAGAAUUCCAGGUGUAGCGGUGAAAUGCGUAGAGAUCUGGAGGAAUACCGGUGGCGAAGGCGGCCCCCUGGACAAAGACUGACGCUCAGGUGCGAAAGCGUGGGGAGCAAACAGGAUUAGAUACCCUGGUAGUCCACGCCGUAAACGAUGUCGAUUUGGAGGUUGUGCCCUUGAGGCGUGGCUUCCGGAGCUAACGCGUUAAAUCGACCGCCUGGGGAGUACGGCCGCAAGGUUAAAACUCAAAUGAAUUGACGGGGGCCCGCACAAGCGGUGGAGCAUGUGGUUUAAUUCGAUGCAACGCGAAGAACCUUACCUGGUCUUGACAUCCACAGAACUUUCCAGAGAUGGAUUGGUGCCUUCGGGAACUGUGAGACAGGUGCUGCAUGGCUGUCGUCAGCUCGUGUUGUGAAAUGUUGGGUUAAGUCCCGCAACGAGCGCAACCCUUAUCCUUUGUUGCCAGCGGUCCGGCCGGGAACUCAAAGGAGACUGCCAGUGAUAAACUGGAGGAAGGUGGGGAUGACGUCAAGUCAUCAUGGCCCUUACGACCAGGGCUACACACGUGCUACAAUGGCAUAUACAAAGAGAAGCGACCUCGCGAGAGCAAGCGGACCUCAUAAAGUAUGUCGUAGUCCGGAUUGGAGUCUGCAACUCGACUCCAUGAAGUCGGAAUCGCUAGUAAUCGUAGAUCAGAAUGCUACGGUGAAUACGUUCCCGGGCCUUG
This 1364-nucleotide ribosomal RNA is filed under the name uncultured Klebsiella sp. Its description in RNAcentral is "bacterial SSU rRNA". It matches the Rfam family "Bacterial small subunit ribosomal RNA", at positions 27 to 1383 of the family's 1533-position model. The record is from RNAcentral. Lineage: Bacteria; Pseudomonadati; Pseudomonadota; Gammaproteobacteria; Enterobacterales; Enterobacteriaceae.